ACGCUGGCGGCGUGCCUAAUACAUGCAAGUAGAACGCUGAAGGAGGAGCUUGCUUCUCUGGAUGAGUUGCGAACGGGUGAGUAACGCGUAGGUAACCUGCCUGGUAGCGGGGGAUAACUAUUGGAAACGAUAGCUAAUACCGCAUAAGAGUAGAUGUUGCAUGACAUUUGCUUAAAAGGUGCAAUUGCAUCACUACCAGAUGGACCUGCGUUGUAUUAGCUAGUUGGUGGGGUAACGGCUCACCAAGGCGACGAUACAUAGCCGACCUGAGAGGGUGAUCGGCCACACUGGGACUGAGACACGGCCCAGGCUCCUACGGGAGGCAGCAGUAGGGAAUCUUCGGCAAUGGACGGAAGUCUGACCGAGCAACGCCGCGUGAGUGAAGAAGGUUUUCGGAUCGUAAAGCUCUGUUGUAAGAGAAGAACGAGUGUGAGAGUGGAAAGUUCACACUGUGACGGUAUCUUACCAGAAAGGGACGGCUAACUACGUGCCAGCAGCCGCGGUAAUACGUAGGUCCCGAGCGUUGUCCGGAUUUAUUGGGCGUAAAGCGAGCGCAGGCGGUUAGAUAAGUCUGAAGUUAAAGGCUGUGGCUUAACCAUAGUACGCUUUGGAAACUGUUUAACUUGAGUGCAAGAGGGGAGAGUGGAAUUCCAUGUGUAGCGGUGAAAUGCGUAGAUAUAUGGAGGAACACCGGUGGCGAAAGCGGCUCUCUGGCUUGUAACUGACGCUGAGGCUCGAAAGCGUGGGGAGCAAACAGGAUUAGAUACCCUGGUAGUCCACGCCGUAAACGAUGAGUGCUAGGUGUUAGACCCUUUCCGGGGUUUAGUGCCGUAGCUAACGCAUUAAGCACUCCGCCUGGGGAGUACGACCGCAAGGUUGAAACUCAAAGGAAUUGACGGGGGCCCGCAC
RNAcentral lists this ribosomal RNA (909 nucleotides) under uncultured bacterium. Its description in RNAcentral is "bacterial SSU rRNA". It matches the Rfam family "Bacterial small subunit ribosomal RNA", at positions 33 to 926 of the family's 1533-position model. The record is from RNAcentral.